CUAGGUUAGCAGUGAUGUUGAACGAAGAUUGAUAAGAAGUCAGCAGAGGGCAUAGUACCGACAAGAGUAGGGAAGGCC
Molecule: non-coding RNA, 78 nt
Organism: Photobacterium sp.
Lineage: Bacteria; Pseudomonadati; Pseudomonadota; Gammaproteobacteria; Vibrionales; Vibrionaceae
Source: Rfam